This 492-nucleotide ribosomal RNA is filed under the name uncultured bacterium. RNAcentral describes it as "partial 16S ribosomal RNA". It matches the Rfam family "Bacterial small subunit ribosomal RNA", at positions 29 to 507 of the family's 1533-position model. The record is from RNAcentral.
AGUGAACGCUGGCGGUAGGCCUAACACAUGCGAGUCGAACGGCAGCACAGUAAGAGCUUGCUCUUACGGGUGGCGAGUGGCGGACGGGUGGGGAAUACAUCGGAAUCUACUUUUUCGGGGGGGAUAACGUAGGGAAACUUACGCUAAUACCGCAUACGCCCUACGGGUGAAAGCGGGGGAUCUUCGGACCUUGCGCGAUUGAAUGAGCCGAUGUCGGAUUAGCUAGUUGGCGGGGUAAAGGCCCACCAAGGCGACGAUCCGUAGCUGGUCUGAGAGGAUGAUCAGCCACACUGGAACUGAGACACGGUCCAGACUCCUACGGGAGGCAGCAGUGGGGAAUAUUGGACAAUGGGCGCAAGCCUGAUCCAGCCAUACCGCGUGGGUGAAGAAGGCCUUCGGGUUGUAAAGCCCUUUUGUUGGGAAAGAAAAGCAGCAGGUUAAUACCCCGCUGUUCUGACGGUACCCAAAGAAUAAGCACCGGCUAACUUCGUG